Molecule: long non-coding RNA, 823 nt
Organism: Hylaeus volcanicus
Lineage: Eukaryota; Metazoa; Arthropoda; Insecta; Hymenoptera; Colletidae
Exons: 2
Source: RefSeq, a predicted model, not a curated record
AUUUAUGACAGACGGGUUACCCGCAGAUUGCGGAGUAUGCUUCCGAAUGCUUACGAAUGUGUGCCACAAUCGGUCGCAAUAGGGACUGGCCUAAGGAUCCGUCGCACGAUUGGGCGAGGCAUAUCGCGGUGCUCUCAAUGCGACGACAGAUAUAAGAAGUAAUCGGCAGAGCUUUAUACACAUUUUAUUCGAAUUUUACGGAUUAAUCGACAUCAAACGACACAGACUUGAAUCGUUUCGAUAUUUCAAAUCAAACAUUUGUUUAGUCGCAUUUCUAGUCACUAUGAUCACUCUUGAAACGAUCUUCUUAUUAAUAAUAGGAAAAAAAAGAGGGUAAAAAACGUAAUAGUUGUCGCGUAAUUCGGAAAAUUUUGUAGUACAUUGUUGUUGUACAGUGAAAAAUAAAAGCAUACAUCACUUGCAAACAAAACAGAAGAUCGUUUUGCGUUGUAAGGGCCGUUAAUGACAUUAUCUCGUACAUUAUCCCUAUUGUAUUAUUAUAAACCGCGUUGGCCAUUCCAUGCCCCCCUAAAAUUUCCACGUGUCGGAUAUAAUACCCGACGAGGGACAGUUUGGUAAUGGUUUCAUUCUAUUUUCCCUGUUCGUUUAUUUACAGGUGCCUGGAACGACCUCGCGUAAAGCGUAACAUAGUUUUUGUUUUUUCUCCUUAUUUUUUUUAACUUGUUCGCAAUGGAGAAGGUGCCCGACAAAUACCUUAUUUUAACGAUACAUUUCAACAUAAAUUGUGUUUCCACGCUCAACGCUUGAACACUUUACAAGGAGUGGUGCUUGGCCAUUGCGAAUCAGUUAAAAACAAUUUGGA